AUGCCUGCACCUCCUGUCUUUUGGUCCAGGAGCCAUGACUUCGAGAAGAAUAGACGUAGCCAUAAAGAUUUCUUAUAUAUAGGUGAGUAUAAAUGUGUGUGUGUACGUUUGUGUAUGUACACAAAACAGAAGAUGGUGGUCAUGAUGCCAUGAUUCAUGUGGGGCCAGCCAUAUGUGGAGAUUAAGCAUGGGAUUGUUUUCAGAAAUUUCAGGGCCUACAUUAUACAGCUAAGAAAAUCCUUGGAAUCAUAGAAGCACAGAAUCUCCUGAGUU
Molecule: long non-coding RNA, 273 nt
Filed under: Anas platyrhynchos platyrhynchos (common mallard)
Lineage: Eukaryota; Metazoa; Chordata; Aves; Anseriformes; Anatidae
Description: lncRNA (ENSAPLG00000018660.1)
Source: RNAcentral